This 255-nucleotide long non-coding RNA is filed under the name Brassica rapa (field mustard). Its description in RNAcentral is "long non-coding RNA (BRAP_LNC004464)". The record is from RNAcentral. Lineage: Eukaryota; Viridiplantae; Streptophyta; Magnoliopsida; Brassicales; Brassicaceae.
CUUCAUCUCCUCCCUCUUUUCUUUUUACAGUUGUUUCAACUAUAGUCUUUUUGGUUCGAAUAUCUUCACCUCUGAUAUUUUUGGUUUGAACUUUUUUGACUCUACUCGACCAUUCCUCCUUAUCGAUAAGGAAGUUAUCUCUCUCCUUCAGACCCAUCUUUUUCUAUAGAGUUUUCAGUUUUGUGAAGAGAGAAAAAGAUGUUUGAGAUUGUGAAGAAGUGAGAGAAUUUGAGAUUUGAGGGAGAUGAAUUGGAG